AGAGUUUGCUGAGUUCCCCCUGCAAGAAGGGCAGUGAUAGCUUUUGAGUGCUGGUAGAUCCUUUGAAUAGACAGCCUUGAGUGUGUCCUUGUUGCACCAGUAGGCCUUGUCAAAGUCCCUAUCUUCCAGGAGAUAUACAUAUUGAAGAAAAAAAUUGCCUCCAUAAUCCUUUGUUGUCUUGAGGCUCUCCCCUCAGGAACUGCAGGAACUCCUGGUGCCGCCUGGGCCGAUGGAUUGGACGCCCCAGCCCCUCCGUUCCUGCCCAGCCACUGGGUCCGUGUCCAGUGGUGGCACUGCCAGCCCUGCAGUGGGAUGUAGCCUGGAAAGUGCACAGAGCUGAGCCAAGGGAUUGAAAGGGACCAAGCAAGGGAGGUGAAGAAAGAA
This is a long non-coding RNA of Pseudopipra pipra, 384 nucleotides long. RefSeq lists it as uncharacterized. The record is from RefSeq and is a predicted model, not a curated record. NCBI's taxonomy places the organism in Eukaryota, Metazoa, Chordata, Aves, Passeriformes, Pipridae. The transcript is spliced from 2 exons.